AGGAGCCGAAGAAGGACGGGACUAACACCGAUAUGCUUUGGGGAGCUGUACGUAAGCGUUGAUCCAGAGAUUUCCGAAUGGGGGAACCCACUAUCUUUAGUCGGAUAGUAUCCUUACGUGAAUACAUAGCGUGAGGAAGGCAGACCCAGGGAACUGAAACAUCUAAGUACCUGGAGGAAGAGAAAGAAAAAUCGAUUUCCUGAGUAGCGGCGAGCGAAACGGAAAGAGCCCAAACCAAGAAGCUUGCUUCUUGGGGUUGUAGGACACUCUAUACGGAGUUACAAAAGAAAGUUAUAAAUGAAGCGGUCUGGAAAGGCCCGCCAAAGACGGUAACAGCCCGGUAGUUGAAAUGGCUUUCCCUCCAGAGUGGAUCCUGAGUACGGCGGAACACGUGAAAUUCCGUCGGAAUCCGGGAGGACCAUCUCCCAAGGCUAAAUACUCCCUAGUGACCGAUAGUGAACCAGUACCGUGAGGGAAAGGUGAAAAGCACCCCGGAAGGGGAGUGAAACAGUUCCUGAAACCGUGUGCCUACAAGUAGUUAGAGCCCGUUAAUGGGUGAUAGCGUGCCUUUUGUAGAAUGAACCGGCGAGUUACGAUUUGUUGCAAGGUUAAGCGGAAAAAGCGGAGCCGUAGCGAAAGCGAGUCUGAAUAGGGCGCAUAAGUAACAGGUCGUAGACCCGAAACCAGGUGAUCUACCCAUGUCCAGGAUGAAGGUAAGGUAAUACUUACUGGAGGUCCGAACCCACGCACGUUGAAAAGUGCGGGGAUGAGGUGUGGGUAGCGGAGAAAUUCCAAUCGAACUUGGAGAUAGCUGGUUCUCUCCGAAAUAGCUUUAGGGCUAGCCUCGAGGUAAAGAGUCAUGGAGGUAGAGCACUGUUUGGACUAGGGGCCCUUCUCGGGUUACCGAAUUCAGAUAAACUCCGAAUGCCAUGUACUUAUACUCGGGAGUCAGACUGCGAGUGAUAAGAUCCGUAGUCGAAAGGGAAACAGCCCAGACCACCAGUUAAGGUCCCCAAAUAUAUGUUAAGUGGAAAAGGAUGUGGGGUUGCUUAGACAACCAGGAUGUUGGCUUAGAAGCAGCCACCAUUGAAAGAGUGCGUAAUAGCUCACUGGUCGAGUGACCCCGCGCCGAAAAUGUACCGGGGCUAAACAUAUUACCGAAACUGUG
This 1168-nucleotide ribosomal RNA is filed under the name Listeria monocytogenes. Its description in RNAcentral is "partial 23S ribosomal RNA". It matches the Rfam family "Bacterial large subunit ribosomal RNA", at positions 41 to 1204 of the family's 2925-position model. The record is from RNAcentral. Lineage: Bacteria; Bacillati; Bacillota; Bacilli; Caryophanales; Listeriaceae.